GUGCCAGCCGCCGCGGUAAUACCGGCAGCACGAGUGAUGGCCGCUCUUAUUGGGCCUAAAGCGUCCGUAGCCGGCCAGUCAAGUCCGUUGGGAAAUCGGCGCGCCUAACGCGUCGGCGUCCAGCGGAAACUGUCCGGCUUGGGGCCGAACGACCCGAGGGGUACGUCCGGGGUAGGAGUGAAAUCCUGUAAUCCUGGACGGACCGCCGGUGGCGAAAGCGCCUCGGGAGGACGGACCCGACGGUGAGGGACGAAAGCCAGGGUCUCCAACCGGAUUAGAAACCCCUGUAGUCC
This 293-nucleotide ribosomal RNA is filed under the name uncultured bacterium. Its description in RNAcentral is "partial 16S ribosomal RNA". It matches the Rfam family "Archaeal small subunit ribosomal RNA", at positions 455 to 747 of the family's 1478-position model. The record is from RNAcentral.